CUUCUAGAUAGCAGCUACCGAACGUUGAUGUUAGCAAGCGCUAGCUGAUACUAGCGAUUUCUAGUCUGCAACAUAUUUUGGGCUUCACCUGUAACAAAGACUUUUGUAUGUGU
This is a long non-coding RNA of Etheostoma cragini (Arkansas darter), 113 nucleotides long. RefSeq lists it as uncharacterized. The record is from RefSeq and is a predicted model, not a curated record. The transcript is spliced from 3 exons. Lineage: Eukaryota; Metazoa; Chordata; Actinopteri; Perciformes; Percidae.